Long non-coding RNA from Oncorhynchus kisutch (coho salmon), 2027 nucleotides. Lineage: Eukaryota; Metazoa; Chordata; Actinopteri; Salmoniformes; Salmonidae. The record is from Ensembl.
UUGGACGCUUGUGAACUAGUGUGCUGUAUUAUAUUGGAAUGAAACUUACUAUGUCAACGCAGUAUUACUCUAGACAUGUUGAUUAGGGUACAGAAUGGAUAUACAGUGGUUCCCAACUCCAGUCCUCCAGUACCCCCAACAGUGGUUCCCAACUCCAGUACCCCCAACAGUGGUUCCCAACUCCAGUCCUCCAGUACCCCCAACAGUGGUUCCCAACUCCAGUACCCCCAACAGUGGUUCCCAACUCCAGUCCUCCAGUACCCCCAACAGUGGUUCCCAACUCCAGUCCUCCAGUACCCCCAACAGUGGUUCCCAACUCCAGUCCUCCAGUACCCCCAACAGUGGUUCCCAACUCCAGUACCCCCAACAGUGGUUCCCAACUCCAGUCCUCCAGUACCCCCAACAGUGGUUCCCAACUCCAGUACCCCCAACAGUGGUUCCCAACUCCAGUCCUCCAGUACCCCCAACAGUGGUUCCCAACUCCAGUCCUCCAGUACCCCCAACAGUGGUUCCCAACUCCAGUCCUCCAGUACACCCAACAGUGGUUCCCAACUCCAGUACCCCCAACAGUGGUUCCCAACUCCAGUACCCCCAACAGUGGUUCCCAACUCCAGUACCCCCAACAGUGGUUCCCAACUCCAGUCCUCCAGUACCCCCAACAGUGGUUCCCAACUCCAGUCCUCCAGUACCCCCAACAGUGGUUCCCAACUCCAGUCCUCCAGUACACCCAACAGUGGUUCCCAACUGCAGUCCUCCAGUACCCCCAACAGUGGUUCCCAACUCCAGUCCUCCAGUACCCCCAACAGUGGAUCCCAACUCCAGUUCUCCAGUACCCUAACAGUGGUUCCCAACUCCAGUACCCCCAACAGCAGUUCCCAACUCCAGUCCUCCAGUACCCCAACAGUGGUUCCCAACUCCAGCCCUCUAGUACCCCCAACAGUGGCUCCCAACUCCAUCCCUCCAGUACCCCCAACAGUGGUUCCCAACUCCAGUCCUCCAGUACCCCAACAGUGGUUCCUAACCCCAGUACCCCCAACAGUGGUUCCCAACUCCAGUCCUCCAGUACCCCCAACAGUGAUUCACAACUCCAGUCCUCCAGUACCCCAAAAGUGGUUCCUAACCCCAGUACCCCCAACACUGGUUCCCAACUCCAGCCCUCUAGUACCCCCAACAGCGGUUCCCAACUCCAGUCCUCCAGUACCCCCAACAGUGGUUCCCAACUCCAGUCCUCCAGUACCCCAACAGUGGUUCCCAACCCCAGUACCCCCAACACUGGUUCCCAACUCCAGUCCUCCAGUACCCCCAACAGUGGUUUCCAACUCCAUCCCUCCAGUACCCCCAACAGUGGUUCCCAACUCCAGUCCUCCAGUACCCCAACAGUGGUUCCUAACCCCAGUACCCCCAACAGUGGUUCCCAACUCCAGUCCUCCAGUACCCCCAACAGUGAUUCACAACUCCAGUCCUCCAGUACCCCAAAAGUGGUUCCUAACCCCAGUACCCCCAACACUGGUUCCCAACUCCAGCCCUCUAGUACCCCCAACAGCGGUUCCCAACUCCAGUCCUCCAGUACCCCCAACAGUGGUUCCCAACUCCAGUCCUCCAGUACCCCCAACAGUGGUUCCCAACUCCAGUCCUCCAGUACCCCCAACAGUACACAUUAUUUAGUGUAGCCCUCAACAAGCACACCUGAAUAAACUUGUUAACAAAUAACCCUCGUUAAGUUGAAUCAAGUGCGUUUGUCCGUGGCUACAACAUAAAUGUGUGCUGUUGGUGGAACUGGAGGACCGGAGUUGGGAAACACUGUUUUAGGUCAUUAUCUGCAGCUGGGUUACCAUAAUGAGAGUCAAAACCACUUAUUAGAAAAUCACAUGAACGAUGGUCAUCCUGUUGUUCGGUGGAAGCAUGCUGACAGUGUUCAAAUCACCUCUCCAAAGAGGUCGGUCUCUGUUCCCUGCUCAUAGAAUGGUUUACGACUCUUUUAAUUUGCAUGUGUAUAGCAGACAAAUUGAUCACGAUGAAAGAAGCCA